ACGAACGCUGGCGGCGUGCUUAACACAUGCAAGUCGAACGGAAAGGCCCUGCUUUUGUGGGGUGCUCGAGUGGCGAACGGGUGAGUAACACGUGAGUAACCUGCCCUUGACUUUGGGAUAACUUCAGGAAACUGGGGCUAAUACCGGAUAGGAGCUCCUGCUGCAUGGUUGGGGUUGGAAAGUUUCGGCGGUUGGGGAUGGACUCGCGGCUUAUCAGCUUGUUGGUGGGGUAGUGGCUUACCAAGGCUUUGACGGGUAGCCGGCCUGAGAGGGUGAACGGCCACAUUGGGACUGAGAUACGGCCCAGACUCCUACGGGAGGCAGCAGUGGGGAAUAUUGCACAAUGGGCGGAAGCCUGAUGAAGCAACGCCGCGUGCGGGAUGACGGCCUUCGGGUUGUAAACCGCUUUCGCCUGUGACGAAGCGUGAGUGACGGUAAUGGGUAAAGAAGCACCGGCUAACUACGUG
This 467-nucleotide ribosomal RNA is filed under the name uncultured bacterium. RNAcentral's name for it is "partial 16S ribosomal RNA". It matches the Rfam family "Bacterial small subunit ribosomal RNA", at positions 29 to 507 of the family's 1533-position model. The record is from RNAcentral.